GAUGAACGCUGGCGGCGUGCCUAAUACAUGCAAGUCGAGCGAACAGAUGAGAAGCUUGCUUCUCUGAUGUUAGCGGCGGACGGGUGAGUAACACGUGGGUAACCUACCUAUAAGACUGGGAUAACUCCGGGAAACCGGGGCUAAUACCGGAUAAUAUUUUGAACCGCAUGGUUCAAUAGUGAAAGACGGUUUCGGCUGGCACUUAUAGAUGGACCCGCGCCGUAUUAGCUAGUUGGUAAGGUAACGGCUUACGAAGGCGACGAUACGUAGCCGACCUGAGAGGGUGAUCGGCCACACUGGAACUGAGACACGGUCCAGACUCCUACGGGAGGCAGCAGUAGGGAAUCUUCCGCAAUGGGCGAAAGCCUGACGGAGCAACGCCGCGUGAGUGAUGAAGGUCUUCGGAUCGUAAAACUCUGUUGUUAGGGAAGAACAAAUUUAUUAGUAACUGAACAAGUCUUGACGGUACCUAACCAGAAAGCCACGGCUAACUACGUGCCAGCCGCCGCGGUAA
Molecule: ribosomal RNA, 514 nt
Filed under: uncultured bacterium
Lineage: Bacteria
Description: partial 16S ribosomal RNA
Rfam family: Bacterial small subunit ribosomal RNA
Source: RNAcentral